AUACUACUAUUUCUAUGAGUAACUAGAAUAAAUGGAUGAUUGGAUAUACUAUUUUUUUCUUUUCUUUCAGAUGUUUUAUCUGCAUUUUUGCAAACUGUACAUUUCCAAGUAAAAGAUGAGACUUCCACUUCUCCAGAAUAGACUUGCUUUGUCUUAAGUCUUUGUCCAGUCCCUGUCUUGGAGACUUCUUUAAAUGCAGGCCCCUCUGGCUAAAAUGGCUGGAAGACAAUAUGUUCUCUGGGAUGGAGCAGAGAUGGGGAGGAGGCAGGAGACUUUCUCCCAUCAUGAACACUUGCACAUGACCUCCAAGAAGAUUUCUUUCCAGCCUUCUGACAGCUGUUCUGAUAAUCCCCUGUACAAAUCAUUCAUACAUUUCAGGUAAACUUUUUGCAUAUUAGUUUUCUACCAUAUGCGUAGGGUAGAGUUGCCAGAUAAAUGAAAAUAGAGGGCACCCAGUUCAAUUUGAAUUUCUGAUAACAGAUAUACUUUAUUUUUUUAGUAUUAUUGAAAAAGCAAGAGAGUUCCAGAAAAACAUCUAUUUCUGCUUUAUUGACUAUGCCAAAGCCUUUGACUGUGUGGAUCACAAUAAAC
This 591-nucleotide long non-coding RNA is filed under the name Bos indicus x Bos taurus (hybrid cattle). RNAcentral's name for it is "lncRNA (ENSBIXG00000016135.1)". Lineage: Eukaryota; Metazoa; Chordata; Mammalia; Artiodactyla; Bovidae. The record is from RNAcentral.